AUUCCAGCUCCAAUAGCGUAUAUUUAAGUUGUUGCAGUUAAAAAGCUCGUAGUUGGAUUUCGGGUGUCAUCUGCCGGUCCGCCGUUUCGGUGUGCACUGGCGGGCGUCAUCUUUCUGUCGAGGACGCGCUCCUGUCCUUUAUUGGUCGGGACGCGGAGUCGGCGAGGUUACUUUGAAAAAAUUAGAGUGUUCAAAGCGGGCUUACGCUUGAAUAUAUUAGCAUGGAAUAACACUAUAGGACUCCUGUUCUAUUUUGUUGGUCUUCGGGACGGGAGUAAUGAUUAAUAGGGACAGUCGGGGGCAUUUGUAUUCAAACGACAGAGGUGAAAUUCUUGGACCGUUUGAAGACAAACUACCGCGAAAGCAUUUGCCAAGAAUGUUUUCAUCA
Molecule: ribosomal RNA, 388 nt
Filed under: Crustomastix sp.
Lineage: Eukaryota; Viridiplantae; Chlorophyta; Mamiellophyceae; Dolichomastigales; Crustomastigaceae
Description: partial small subunit ribosomal RNA
Rfam family: Eukaryotic small subunit ribosomal RNA
Source: RNAcentral